RNAcentral lists this non-coding RNA (148 nucleotides) under Nomascus leucogenys (northern white-cheeked gibbon). The record is from Rfam by way of RNAcentral. Lineage: Eukaryota; Metazoa; Chordata; Mammalia; Primates; Hylobatidae.
GCUGGGCGUAGUGGUGGAUGCCUGUAAUCCCAGCUACUCGGGAGGCUGAGACAGGAGAAUUGCUUGAACCCAGGAGGCAGAGGUUGCAGUGAGCUGAGAUCAUGCCACUGGACUCCAGCCUGGGCGACAGAGCGAGACUCUGUCUCAA